Molecule: ribosomal RNA, 1497 nt
Filed under: Triticum aestivum (bread wheat)
Lineage: Eukaryota; Viridiplantae; Streptophyta; Magnoliopsida; Poales; Poaceae
Description: partial small subunit ribosomal RNA
Source: RNAcentral
AUGGAGAGGAGGGAGGACCCCGUGGCCUUCGCGAGGAGAGCGCCGCCAGCAGCGUCAACCGGAGCGGGCCAAGGCGGCCAAUCAUCGGCGGUGCCAGAGGAGCCGGCCGGGGGUGAGCCGGAGGACAGAGCCGGCCUCGAGGUGCAGCCGGUGAUGCGUAGGCGCGCAGGGGAAGGCACCGCUCCGUCGGAGUCGCACCGAGUCGCGGGCGUAGGCCAGUCGGCUGAAGAUCCAGAGGCGGCCAGCACUACCACGUUCGAGUGGACUCCCAGCGGGGGGACUGGCGAGCUGAAUGCGGCGGCUCAAGAGGUCCGGAGCCGGCUUCAAGCUCAGGCCGCCCUGAUGCAGCAGUACACCCAGGAGUUCCUGUCGACGCGGGCCGUCAUCCGGGAAUAUCAUAACUCCCAUGCUGCCGCCUUCAACUCUCAGGCUCAGGAGUUGGGUCGGAAGACCAAUGACCUGGCCAACAGCCGAAGGGCCAACGCCGACUUGAGGAAGGAGCUCGGCGAAGCGCAGGCCGCCCUUCAUACCAAGGAUGCCGAGAAAGCUGUCUUGGUCCAGGAGCGUGACCGCCUGGCCAAGAAGGUGGCUGACCAGGAGAAGAGCCACAAGGCGGCCCUGCAGCAAGCACAGGAUAGUGAGGCCGCCCUGAAGGCAGAGUAUGAGACCGAGGCGGCGAGCUGGGCUGAGACCCGGCGAGCACUUGAUGAGGGCUUCGGCCGCAUCGAGGACUUGAUCGACGACUACUUUCCCGGCUACUCCGCCUUUGCCGCCCAAAGCAUCGAAGCCCACCGCGAGGCGCGCCGUCAGGCGGGGGCCAACAUCGCGCCGGAUGCGAACCGGACGCUUGAGGAGCUGCUCUUGGCUGUCCAGGCGCAGUUGCAGCCGGCUCAUCGGAUGCUUCGCCGGCUCCAACGUGCCGGGGCGCAAGUGUUGGCCGCCCUUUGGCCCGGCGAGACGAUCCCCCGCACCCCAAGCCAGACUGCCGACUGGCUGGAGGUCGCAGUCGGUCGCUUUGAGGCUUGGAAGGCAUCGGCGGCCUGCCUCGGAGCCGGGCGGGCGUUGGAGUUCGUUCGGGCUUGGUACCCAGGGCUGAGCCUGGACCAGCUGCGCACUUGGCGGAUGGAGGCUGACGCGGAGCUGGAGGAGGUGAGGCCGGCUAUCGCCCAGCGUGCUUCGACGAUCGCCGAGUGCAUCGACAUCAAGCCGGAGGAGUGGUUCGGGCUGAACCCGAUGGUGGGCGAGGACUCGGCAGAGGAGAUCGCCUCCAGCGACGAAGGCGAGGAUGAUGAAGAGGAGGAUGGCGAAGACAUCGAGCCGGCUGGUGGAACAACCGGCCGACCUCAGGCCGACCAUGCCUCCAGCAACGAGGCGCGUGGAAGCGCGCCCUCUGCGGGAGGCGGUGACCAAACCGAGGUUCGCCAGCCGGCCGCUCCUUCAGCCGGCACAACUAUCUCCGCCAACCAGCCCGGCUCGUCGGUCGCUCCACCGGCUUGA